RNAcentral lists this ribosomal RNA (465 nucleotides) under uncultured bacterium. RNAcentral describes it as "partial 16S ribosomal RNA". It matches the Rfam family "Bacterial small subunit ribosomal RNA", at positions 28 to 507 of the family's 1533-position model. The record is from RNAcentral.
GACGAACGCUGGCGGCGUGCUUAACACAUGCAAGUCGAACGGAAAGGCCCUGCUUGCAGGGUGCUCGAGUGUCGAACGGGUGUGUAAAACGUGGGAGUUCUGCCCUGCACUUCGGGAUAAGACUGGGAGACUGGGUCUAUAACAGGAUAGGAGCCAUCUUGAGUGUGGUGGUUGGAAGGAUUUUUCGGUGUAGGAUGAGCUCGCGGCCUAUCAGCUUGUUGGUGGGGUAAUGGCCUACCAAGGCGGCGUCGGGUAGCCGGCCUGAGAGGGUGGACGGCCACAUUGGGGCUGAGAUACGGCCCAGACUCCUACGGGAGGCAGCAGUGGGGAAUAUUGCACAAUGGGCGCAAGCCUGAUGCAGCGACGCCGCGUGGGGGAUGACGGCCUUCGGGUUGUAAACUCCUUUCGCUAGGGACGAAGCUUUUUGUGACGGUACCUAGAUAAGAAGCACCGGCUAACUACGUG